UACGUAGGGGGCGAGCGUUGUCCGGAAUUAUUGGGCGUAAAGGGCGCGUAGGCGGCCCGGCAAGUUAUCUGUGAAAGUCCACAUUUCAAGUGUGGGAGUGCAGGUAAAACUGCUGGGCUUGAGUGCAGGAGAGGAAAGUGGAAUUCCAAGUGUAGCGGUGAAAUGCGUAGAGAUUUGGAGGAACACCAGUGGCGAAGGCGACUUUCUGGACUGUAACUGACGCUGAGGCGCGAAAGCGUGGGGAGCAAACAGG
Molecule: ribosomal RNA, 253 nt
Filed under: uncultured bacterium
Lineage: Bacteria
Description: partial 16S ribosomal RNA
Rfam family: Bacterial small subunit ribosomal RNA
Source: RNAcentral